Betta splendens (Siamese fighting fish) is the source of this 1434-nucleotide long non-coding RNA. RefSeq lists it as uncharacterized. The transcript is spliced from 5 exons. Lineage: Eukaryota; Metazoa; Chordata; Actinopteri; Anabantiformes; Osphronemidae. The record is from RefSeq and is a predicted model, not a curated record.
CAGAAGGUGGCGAUAGUGCGCAAUUUGUCGAACGCAAACUGCCCAUAAACAAAAGCAAAAAAGAGGAAGAAGCAGAAGAAGAAGAAAGUUUUCGACAACGCUUCCAGGACAACAAAAGGCAAGUUCGUCUCAAGAUUUCUUACACUGUGUUUAGACUGAAAUGGGACCAUGUCAGAUUCUGAACACUGGGCACACAGUGGAACCCACAGACGAGGGAGGGUGAGAGAAAUUGUGUGCCACAGACGUCUAUUCAACCUGUUGAUGGUGCUGAGGCUGUGUACCAUGCAUAACCCAACUGAUGCUCCCACACACAGAAUGGGAGCAGUUAAGGAUACCAAAAUAUCCUGAAGCUGGCCUAGUCCCUCUUUAGAAAUUAAAAACCUGCAGAGGCUUCAGUACAAGAGUGUACACAAGCAGUUGCACUGUGUUCAGUCAUCCCUCGGAUUGCAUGGCUAUCAGAAAGGCAAUGCUGAGCAGCCUUGAGACAGAUACCUGUGUCCCAUUGCAGGUUCUCUCACAGGCAAGUGAAGAGUGCUCGAGUAGGGAAGUGGGCUGAUAUAAUUUUUGGCUCUGAGGAUCUGCCAACAGGGUCUGCCCCCUUUGCCACGUUUCCAGUGUCAUCAACCAACUGUUUCUUCCUUGACCAGCUACACCACUGGGUAUUACAGUCCACCACUCCACUGCCGCACACCCAUCUCCUCUUCCAGGACUGUGUGUAUGCUCAAGACCACAACUUGUAGCAACAUGAAGACAGCUGUAGCUGCUGCUGCUGCUGCUGCUGCUGCUGCUGCUGCUGCUGCUGCUGCUGCUGCUGCUGCUGCUGCUGCUGCGGGGGCUUUCCAGGAACAAACUUGGUCAGCAGCCGACACUAUACAGCUGGAUUAAGCAUGGCCAGCCAAACACAAUCGAGAAUGGCUAUACAUGCAUAGCCAGUAUGCCAUCCUGUGAUGAUGUUAGUUAAACAAAGCCAAGGCAACCACAAGCAAAUUAAUGGACUGUAUUAUAUUAAGUGGUAUUUAAUUACAUUAUAGUCUAUGUCGUUUAAUUUUUUGUAUUGUGUUUUACUAGUCCUAUGUCUAAAGCAUUAUACACAUAUGUGCCUUUGCUACUCAAUAUUUAGGCAAUUAAUGAAGUCUACUUUGUGAUUUAUCAACUGGUUUUAUUAAUCGUGUGAACAGUUUUUAAAUAAAUCAUUUUUUUGGUAAAUGAAAAAAAUCUUAAGCAAAGUGUUUGUGUUUUAGAACAUACAAGGGACUAUCAAUGGCACAACAAAAGUUUCUAAAACACAUUUUUUUAUGAGUAUUAAUGGUUUAAAGAUAUGAGGAGAAUUAUAUGAAGAGAUCUACUUUAAAACUGAAAGUAUGCAAAAGAAAAUAACUUAUCAUUCUAGUUGUUAUAACAGCUAAAAUAAAAAAUAAAUAAUAGCAAAUAUCA